RNAcentral lists this ribosomal RNA (467 nucleotides) under uncultured bacterium. RNAcentral's name for it is "partial 16S ribosomal RNA". It matches the Rfam family "Bacterial small subunit ribosomal RNA", at positions 28 to 506 of the family's 1533-position model. The record is from RNAcentral.
GACGAACGCUGGCGGCGUGCUUAACACAUGCAAGUCGAACGGAAAGGCCCUGCUUUUGUGGGGUGCUCGAGUGGCGAACGGGUGAGUAACACGUGAGUAACCUGCCCUUGACUUUGGGAUAACUUCAGGAAACUGGGGCUAAUACCGGAUAGGAGCUCCUGCUGCAUGGUGGGGGUUGGAAAGUUUCGGCGGUUGGGGAUGGACUCGCGGCUUAUCAGCUUGUUGGUGGGGUAGUGGCUUACCAAGGCUUUGACGGGUAGCCGGCCUGAGAGGGUGACCGGCAAAAUGGGGACUGAGAUACGGCCCAGACUCCUACGGGAGGCAGCAGUGGGGAAUAUUGCACAAUGGGCGGAAGCCUGAUGCAGAAACGCCGCGUGCGGGAGGACGGCCUUCGGGUUGUAAACGGCUUUCGCCUGUGACGAAGCGUGAGUGACGGUAAUGGGUAAAGAAGCACCGGCUAACUACGU